RNAcentral lists this ribosomal RNA (253 nucleotides) under uncultured Bacteroides sp. RNAcentral describes it as "partial 16S ribosomal RNA". It matches the Rfam family "Bacterial small subunit ribosomal RNA", at positions 524 to 776 of the family's 1533-position model. Lineage: Bacteria; Pseudomonadati; Bacteroidota; Bacteroidia; Bacteroidales; Bacteroidaceae. The record is from RNAcentral.
UACGGAGGAUUCAAGCGUUAUCCGGAUUUAUUGGGUUUAAAGGGAGCGUAGGCGGGUUGUUAAGUCAGUUGUGAAAGUUUGCGGCUCAACCGUAAAAUUGCAGUUGAAACUGGCAGUCUUGAGUACAGUAGAGGUGGGCGGAAUUCGUGGUGUAGCGGUGAAAUGCUUAGAUAUCACGAAGAACUCCGAUUGCGAAGGCAGCGUACCGGCGCCACACUGACGCUGAAGCUCGAAAGCGCGGGUAUCGAACAGG